AUACAGGUGGCUGCAUGGCUGUCGUCAGCUCGUGUCGUGAGAUGUUGGGUUAAGUCCGCAACGAGCGCAACCCUUUUCCUUAUUUGCCAGCGGGUAAUGCCGGGAACUUUAAGGAUACUGCCAGUGACAAACUGGAGGAAGGCGGGGACGACGUCAAGUCAUCAUGGCCCUUACGGCCAGGGCUACACACGUGCUACAAUGGUCGGUACAAAGGGUUGCUACCUCGCGAGAGGAUGCUAAUCUCAAAAAGCCGAUCGUAGUCCGGAUCGCAGUCUGCAACUCGACUGCGUGAAGUCGGAAUCGCUAGUAAUCGCGGAUCAGAAUGCCGCGGUGAAUACGUUCCCGGGCCUUGUACACACCGCCCGUCACACCAUGGGAGUUUGUUGCACCAGAAGUAGGUAGUCUAACCGCAAGGAGGACGCUUACCACGGUGUGGCCGAUGACUGGGGUGAAGUCGUAACAAGGUAAGCGUAGAUGA
Molecule: ribosomal RNA, 478 nt
Filed under: uncultured bacterium
Lineage: Bacteria
Description: bacterial SSU rRNA
Rfam family: Bacterial small subunit ribosomal RNA
Source: RNAcentral